CAGAGUUGCAAAACUCCCAACCAUUGUGAACCUACCUCACCGUUGCUUCGGCGGGUGGCCCCGGGCUAACCCGGAGCCGCGCUGGCUCCCCGCUCUCGGGGGCCCGGCAAACCCGUCAGAAGACCGAAACUCUUAGUUAUCAGUGGCCUCUCUGAGUAACUUAUACAAUAAGUCA
This 175-nucleotide unclassified non-coding RNA is filed under the name soil metagenome. Its description in RNAcentral is "partial internal transcribed spacer 1". The record is from RNAcentral.